AUUGAACGCUGGCGGCAGGCCUAACACAUGCAAGUCGAGCGGAUGAAGGGAGCUUGCUCCUGGAUUCAGCGGCGGACGGGUGAGUAAUGCCUAGGAAUCUGCCUGGUAGUGGGGGAUAACGUCCGGAAACGGGCGCUAAUACCGCAUACGUCCUGAGGGAGAAAGUGGGGGAUCUUCGGACCUCACGCUAUCAGAUGACCCUAGGUCGGAUUAGCUAGUUGGUGGGGUAAAGGCCUACCAAGGCGACGAUCCGUAACUGGUCUGAGAGGAUGAUCAGUCACACUGGAACUGAGACACGGUCCAGACUCCUACGGGAGGCAGCAGUGGGGAAUAUUGGACAAUGGGCGAAAGCCUGAUCCAGCCAUGCCGCGUGUGUGAAGAAGGUCUUCGGAUUGUAAAGCACUUUAAGUUGGGAGGAAGAGCAGUAAGUUAAUACCUUGCUGUUUUGACGUUACCAACAGAAUAAGCACCGGCUAACUUCGUG
RNAcentral lists this ribosomal RNA (484 nucleotides) under uncultured bacterium. RNAcentral's name for it is "partial 16S ribosomal RNA". It matches the Rfam family "Bacterial small subunit ribosomal RNA", at positions 30 to 507 of the family's 1533-position model. The record is from RNAcentral.